CUUGAAAACAUGGACAACCGCAGCUUCGUGGACUAGAUCACCAGGUAAUCACGCAUUGGUUAUCGCGUUUACAUGUCACGCUUUUUUAGUGAAGGUGUUUGUAAAAUCAAAGCAAAAAAAAAAACAAAAAAACAGAAUGGACAAGCGUGACAGUGGCGAUGCCGUCACUCUAACGAUCUCGAUUGCACGCCAAUGUGACAUUUCGGAUCCCACCUGUAGACCUUGAUUUUCGUUUUUGUCAAUCCUCCGUGUUCGUUGAAAUGAAUAAAAAAGGCAAGAUGUUUUCGACGUGGAUGGGUAUAUCGCCUCAAUCGAAUGGAUGGCAAGCAGUUGAAAAUGUCCGCGUGCCAAAUUGCGCUAUCGUUGUAGGCGUGAUAGAGGCGCAAAAAACCCGUUAUCUUCUGUUGAACUUGAACUUGAAAAAGAACGAUCCGUCACGCAACAAAUCUCGUUUUUUCCGUGUUAAGAAAAAACAAAGGGCCUUGUAUUUUGUAUACGCAGCGCGUGUCGACUGCCAAUCGCUCAUUUCAAUUUUUGGCGAGUUUAUUUUUAAAAAACAAUCAUCCUCAAAUGCCCGUAUGAAAACAAGAAAAGAAACGCGAAGGGUCACGCAAGAUGCGUGAAAGAUCAUUGACCUACCCUAUACAAUUCCCUCCGUUCGUCCAAACCUGAUUUGAUUCUGACAAAUCGUUCGGAACGUGCGUUGCAUCACGAAAGCUUUCAAUGGAGGGCAUCGAUGAAAUGAAAACUUGAAAAGGAUUGAACCUGUCAAGAUGCUGUGCCUUUAGAACGCAGGAGAGACAAAGGACAAAUCCUCAUACAUAUUUAUGGAAGCAUUGCAUCACGUUCGUGAAAGAAGAUUUUCAAAAUUCAUGUCGGGAGUUUCAGGUUAUAUUUUCUCUGUGUCUCAUCCCGGAUUCGAAGUUGUCGCUGCUGAUAUCUGCACAAAUGUUUACAAACACAACAGUUAUCAUUGGAUACGCCAUUAAAUGCCACCCGUGUCGCAAUAAGGUCACAAACACGCACGCCCGGAAGCCGUGCCCAUUUUGAUUAGCUUUCUGAGUCACUUGGGGUGGUCAAGGCUUCCCGAGAGCUGUCGAGACAUGAGUUACUAUUUGUCUGCAGUCGGCCUGGGCUGUCGUGUUGGUGGAUCGGCUGGACGAGAGCCAAUCCGCGAGCCAGGAAUAGUCCGUGAGCAAAAUGCGAAGAAAAUUCAUCUGAGCGAGUUUCUUUUGGCGUGUUUUUUUGUUCGAUAUUUCAAUAGACGUUGGCAGUUGUUGUUUUUCAUCGACCGCUGCAUAGGGUUGAUGUUCGAACGCAGAAACUAUUCCCCAACACGCAAAACAUCGUUACAUUCUUCGGGAGAUGCCAGCAGCCGCACCUUUCAAAAAAUCCUGAGGCCACAUCAUCUCGUAUAUUAAUCGACUGCUAAUGAUUAUACUGAGACGAUAAUGACCUCCACUGACCCAGCCGACAUUGUUGUGCAAGUUUACCGGUAGUAGAGUUAUGCAGAUCGCAAAGUAGACGACACACCCAAGAGCCGGAAGUCGGUGGAGAACGUGACGUAGAGGAAGACGGAUAGGUCAACGAUCGUCUAUUUUUGUUGUUUUAUGUUGACAAAACGAUUCACGUUUGUAGAAUGCGUCGAAGCGAUAUGUGGGUUUGAAAAAUUCGCUAUCGCAUUUUUAUUUUCACGCGUUUGUCUACAUCCUUCUUUUAUUUUUAAAUUCCUGGAAAGGUUAAAAAUGUCCCUACGACCGACCCGCUCUAAUCUUGGCCAUCUAACAGUGAAGGCCAAGACGAUCUGCAGUGACCCAAAAUAUAAAAACUAUUUGAAAUUGCAAUCGUGAAAAUUCAAAUUUGAGUUCGAGGUCUUUGUCGGUUUGACCUCCCACGAUGACCAAAAAGAAAUGGUAACAAUGAUCAAGAAUUUUUCUGCUGAGUGCAACAAAAUAUUUCCAUCAUUGGCAAGGCAAUAACGCCGCAAUGUUUCUCACCUCGCAGAUGUUGCGGUCAUCUCACGCCGCCAAAAACUCAUCGGACAAAAGCUCAUUGUUAUAGUUUGUCUUUUCAUAAUUGAACCUGUCCGAUCGACACGUACACGCGCCUCGUUUUGUUUUCUACAUGCAAAAACCAGCAUCGUCAUUGUUCAUUACAAGCAACUGGAGGAGAUUGAAUCAAAAAGCUGUCGGCUUUGUUUUCGUACUUCGAAUAGGAUUUCCGAUUCCCUAACCAAAACCAGUCCGAUGGGAACAAUCAGAAUUUUUUUUCUUUGAUUUUCAUUUUUUAAGUGUAUAUACCAAACAUUGAGAAAUACAUCACUCGAAUGUUAGUGCGUACGUGGAUGUCGACAGAGCGAAACAUGGUUUACCCUAAAGCAAAAAUCUAUCUGAUUCACGUCCGGUCUGAAUAUGGAGCGCUCGGUGUUUGCUGUAUUAGCAAUAUCCCAGUAGGAAACUGUCAGUCUCAUGUCACGAGGUCAAAUUGUUAACGAGAAUGAAUGGGUUGGGUUUUUUUUUCUGAGUAUGUGAAUCUAUUUGCGCAAUCGAUUCUGCGUUAAUGUAUUCAAGUCUGAAUGAAGAUCGACGCAACGUCCGCUCGAGUCGUUGAGCGCCAAAGACAAUCGUUUCAUCAUAUUCUGGUAUACGUGAAGGGAAAUGUUUUUCUUUUCUGUUGAUGCCAAUCGCGGAUUUGAGAACAAUAAAGUGAAAAAAAAAUGGAAGGUGGUGUAGUCCUCCUGGCGCCUCCAUUUUUCUGAGCGGCCUUCAACUCUUGGGCAUUAACAGUAGGAAUCUGGUAAAACCACUCACCGCCUGCAUGUGCAAUUCCUCGUGGGGCGUUCGUCUUCAACUCUGACUAUAUUAGACGAGCAGGCAUAGAGCAGAAAAAUAUGGUGAUGCUGGUGGGGUUUUGCUAUUGUUGAGCCAAAUUUCCAACUCAAAUAUGGUUGUAUGAUUACAAUUUGGUACUGUUUUCGUGUUUUCUGUAUUUGCAUCAUAUGUUUUGAAAAGUCAAAACUUAAGUGCAACUCUAUAAAUGCUGUGAUAACAUAUUUGACUGGGAUAUGAUAGCGACAUAAGCGCUUUAAAUGUAGAUAUGCUUUUAAAGCAAACAAAGUAAA
This is a long non-coding RNA of Daphnia magna, 3121 nucleotides long. RefSeq lists it as uncharacterized. Lineage: Eukaryota; Metazoa; Arthropoda; Branchiopoda; Diplostraca; Daphniidae. The transcript is spliced from 2 exons. The record is from RefSeq and is a predicted model, not a curated record.